RNAcentral lists this transfer RNA (72 nucleotides) under Erinaceus europaeus (western European hedgehog). It matches the Rfam family "tRNA". From Rfam's summary of the family: Transfer RNA (tRNA) molecules are approximately 80 nucleotides in length. The record is from Rfam by way of RNAcentral. Lineage: Eukaryota; Metazoa; Chordata; Mammalia; Eulipotyphla; Erinaceidae.
AGGGGUGUAGCUCAGUGGUAAAGCACAUUCUUUGCAUGUAUGAAGUACAGAGUUCAAUGCCCGGUACUCCCA